UGCGAUGACCUCGGAGGCUUGACUCAGACCAUUGGGUGGAGAACCAGUCCGCGGAGGACUCAGACCGCAAGAGGAGGAGGCGAUUCGAUGGCCCGGAGGAGGAAACGCACA
Amblyraja radiata (thorny skate) is the source of this 111-nucleotide long non-coding RNA. RefSeq lists it as uncharacterized. NCBI's taxonomy places the organism in Eukaryota, Metazoa, Chordata, Chondrichthyes, Rajiformes, Rajidae. The transcript is spliced from 3 exons. The record is from RefSeq and is a predicted model, not a curated record.